AUUGAACGCUGGCGGCAUGCCUAACACAUGCAAGUCGAACGGCAGCACAGCAAAGACUUCGGUCUUUAUGGGUGGCGAGUGGCGGACGGGUGAGUAACGCGUAGGAAUCUGUCCUGGAGGGUGGGAUAACCCGAGGAAACUCGGGCUAAUACCGCAUGAUAUCGAGAGAUCAAAAGCAGGGGACCCUUCGGGGCCUUGCGCUCUAGGAUGAGCCUACGUCGGAUGAGCUUGUUGGUGAUGUAACGGCUGCCCAAGGGAGCGAGGGGUAGGUGGUCUGAGAGGACGAUCAGACACACUGGGACUGAGACACGGCCCAGACUCCUACGGGAGGCAGCAGUGGGGAAUCUUGCGCAAUGCGCGAAAGCGUGACGCAGCAACGCCGCGUGAGGGAAGAAGGCCUUCGGGUUGUAAACCUCUUUCAGGAGGGACGAAGGUUCAGGCGCGAAUAGCGUCCUGGACUGACGGUACCUCCAGAAGAAGCCCCGGCUAACUACGUGCCAGCCGCCGCCGUAA
Molecule: ribosomal RNA, 513 nt
Filed under: uncultured bacterium
Lineage: Bacteria
Description: partial 16S ribosomal RNA
Rfam family: Bacterial small subunit ribosomal RNA
Source: RNAcentral